CGUCCUUCUAUCGCAAGUUCCGCCGCCUGAUAUCGCCCGACGGCAAGUUUUGUCGACUGAUGUCCUCCGACCGCAUGUCCUACGGCUGCGUGUCCUCCUCACUUUCUUCCAGCACUAACUAGGAUUUGGAUGCAGUGUUAGGAGUGCAAGUUCUCGCACCCUAAUCAGGAUAUUCUCCUCAAGCAUUACCGACUUUGCCACUACCGGGGACGCUUCUGGCCACUGCCGUGCCUGUACACUGACUGCUGCUGCACUUUCAAAACAAGCGAUAUAUGCUGAGUUUUUUUGAAUCACUCAAGUGGAUCUAAAGAAGACAUUCUUCACAUCUUUGGAUGCACACGCCUCAAACCUGAUAAAGCUUUACAGAACACGUAGCAGGACACUAGGAAAGGACUUAAAGGCCCUCCUUGACAACCUUGAUGAACAGACAACCAAUGUGCUUGCACAAAGGAAGGCCACAGCUCUCCGAGGUCUACCUCUCUAUUUGAGGGAGAAUCCAGGCAACGUCCUGAAGACAUGUCUGACUCGGAGGAAACGUCCGUUGCAGGUGUUCAACUUGGCAUAGUCACCAUUGUUGAAGAUGAUGUUGGGAGAGCUCACUCAAUGCCCAGAACAAUCAACAUUGCCCUUGUCAUCGAGGAAAAGGUUGUUGUGGAGGACAUCUCUGACAUCAGUACAGCCAUUGUCCUUCUCUUUGGAUGCAUCUACAACCUCAACCUGGACUACCCCAAAGGGUUGAGGUACACUUUUGAGGCCCUUCAAAAGAUUUUUAUGAACCUUGGCACAGAGUGUUCUGCCCGUGUUCAGGCUCUGAAAAACAACUUGUUAAAGUAGCCCGAUACCAUGACACAUAGACAUGUGUUCAAUGCACAUAUUUGCACACAUUGACAUGUCACUUUAUUCCUCAAAAUAUGUUUUUAAGUUCAGUAGUAGCUACACAAAUCCCAUGUUCCCAUUUGAAGUUAGUGUUUACUAACUGCUGGAUUUGUUUGUCUCUGAAACUAAACACGUUUGUGUCUUGUUACACGUUUUUAUGGAUGCACUUUCUAUAGACAUGUCACUUUAUUCCUCAAAAUAUGUUUUCAAGUUCAGUAGUAGCUACACAAGUUUGUGUAGUGUUGCUACGAAUCCCAUGUUCCCAUUGGAAGUUAGUGUUUACUAAGUGCUGGAUUUGGUUAUCUCUGCAACUGAACACGUUUGUUUCUUGUUACAUGUUUUUUAUGGAUGCACUUUCUUCACUGCUGGGUUUGGCCAGUGGUUUCCUCAAGUAUCUGACUAACACAUGUUUUGUGAUGCAUAGUGUCAAUCAUACUGUUUUCUAUAUUAUAGCUAAAGUAUUGAGAGCUGAUUCUGCACUUUGUUAUGUGUUUACAUAUUCUAUCUUUGAAAAUAAUUGUAUAAUGUUACCAAGUUCACUUAAGCAUCCCUGCUGCUGCAAUUUCAAUGUUGCCUUUUUUGUAGUUAUUGGAUGUAUAUAAUGUUAACCCCUGUGUUCUUAAUAAACAGAUUCUUUAUAGAA
Molecule: long non-coding RNA, 1519 nt
Organism: Limanda limanda (common dab)
Lineage: Eukaryota; Metazoa; Chordata; Actinopteri; Pleuronectiformes; Pleuronectidae
Exons: 5
Source: RefSeq, a predicted model, not a curated record